UACGGGGGGAGCAAGCGUUGUUCGGAUUUACUGGGCGUAAAGGGCGCGUAGGCGGCCAGCGCAAGUCAGUUGCGAAAUCUCCGGGCUUAACUCGGAACGGUCAACUGAUACUGCGCGGCUAGAGUGCAGAAGGGGCAACUGGAAUUCUCGGUGUAGCGGUGAAAUGCGUAGAUAUCGAGAGGAACACCUGCGGCGAAGGCGGGUUGCUGGGCUGACACUGACGCUGAUGCGCGAAAGCCAGGGGAGCGAACGGG
This 254-nucleotide ribosomal RNA is filed under the name uncultured bacterium. RNAcentral describes it as "partial 16S ribosomal RNA". It matches the Rfam family "Bacterial small subunit ribosomal RNA", at positions 524 to 776 of the family's 1533-position model. The record is from RNAcentral.